GUGCCGGCUUGGGCAGUACCUAUACUAAAAUGGGAAUGAUACACAGAAGAUUGGCAAAGCCCCCAUGCAAGGGAGACAUGUAAAUUCAUGAAACAUUCCAUAUUUUU
Molecule: small nuclear RNA, 107 nt
Organism: Vulpes vulpes (red fox)
Lineage: Eukaryota; Metazoa; Chordata; Mammalia; Carnivora; Canidae
Source: Ensembl